UGUCCUUGGUGGCGCAGUGUGCUGCUGUAUGUCAGACAGAAUGGAUCAGGAGAGGAACCGCAGACCCAUCAGAACCUAAAGAACCAGAAAUCAGAGUCUCUUCAUCCUCAAUCAUCUCCUGAGGCUGAUAUGAUGGCGGCGCCCUGUAUGGCUGCGGCUGCAUGGGCUCUCGACAACUUGCGAGUAUUUGAGCAAAAUACGCCGCCUAAAACGCUACAAACUUUGCAUCCACUCAGUAAGUUAGCAUAUGAUUGCCAGCGUCUGCUGGAAUUACGAUCAUCAAGU
Xiphophorus hellerii (green swordtail) is the source of this 285-nucleotide long non-coding RNA. RefSeq lists it as uncharacterized. Lineage: Eukaryota; Metazoa; Chordata; Actinopteri; Cyprinodontiformes; Poeciliidae. The record is from RefSeq and is a predicted model, not a curated record. The transcript is spliced from 2 exons.